Molecule: ribosomal RNA, 937 nt
Filed under: Gymnopilus sp.
Lineage: Eukaryota; Fungi; Basidiomycota; Agaricomycetes; Agaricales; Galerinaceae
Description: LSU rRNA
Rfam family: Eukaryotic large subunit ribosomal RNA
Source: RNAcentral
ACACAUAUCAAUAAGCGGAGGAAAAGAAACUAACAAGGAUUCCCCUAGUAACUGCGAGUGAAGCGGGAAAAGCUCAAAUUUAAAAGCUGGCAGUYUUUGAUUGUCCGCGUUGUAAUCUAGAGAAGUGUUACCCGCGUUGGACCGUGUACAAGUCUCCUGGAAUGGAGCGUCAUAGAGGGUGACAAUCCCGUCUUUGACACGGACUCCCAAGGCUUUGUGGUGCGCUCUCAAAGAGUCGCGUUGUUUGGGAAUGCAGCGCAAAAUGGGUGGUAAAUUCCAUCUAAAGCUAAAUAUUGGCGAGAGACCGAUAGCGAACAAGUACCGUGAGGGAAAGAUGAAAAGAACUUUGGAAAGAGAGUUAAACAGUACGUGAAAUUGCUGAAAGGGAAACGCUUGAAGUCAGUCGCGUCGUCUGGAGAUCAACCUUGCUUUUGCUGGGCGUACUCUCCAGUUGACGGGCCAGCAUCAGUUUUGACCAUUGGAAAAGGGCAGAGGGAAUGUGGCAUCUUCGGAUGUGUUAUAGCCUUCUGUCGUAUACAGUGGUUGGGACUGAGGAACUCAGCACGCCGCAAGGCGGGGAUUCGUCCACCUUCGUGCUUAGGAUGCUGGCAUAAUGGCUUUAAUCGACCCGUCUUGAAACACGGACCAAGGAGUCUAACAUGCCUGCGAGUGUUUGGGUGGWAAACCCGAGCGCGUAAUGAAAGUGAAAGUUGAGAUCCCUGUCGUGGGGAGCAUCGACGCCCGGACCAGACCUUUUGUGACGGAUCUGCGGUAGAGCAUGUAUGUUGGGACCCGAAAGAUGGUGAACUAUGCCUGAAUAGGGUGAAGCCAGAGGAAACUCUGGUGGAGGCUCGUAGCGAUUCUGACGUGCAAAUCGAUCGUCAAAUUUGGGUAUAGGGGCGAAAGACUAAUCGAACCAUCUAGUAGCUGGUCCUGC